GUCCUAAGGUAGCGAAAUUCCUUGUCGGGUAAGUUCCGACCUGCACGAAUGGCGUAAUGAUGGCCAGGCUGUCUCCACCCGAGACUCAGUGAAAUUGAACUCGCUGUGAAGAUGCAGUGUACCCGCGGCAAGACGGAAAGACCCCGUGAACCUUUACUAUAGCUUGACACUGAACAUUGAGCCUUGAUGUGUAGGAUAGGUGGGAGGCUUUGAAGUGUGGACGCCAGUCUGCAUGGAGCCGGCCUUGAAAUACCACCCUUUAAUGUUUGAUGUUCUAACGUGGACCCGUGAUCCGGGUUGCGGACAGUGUCUGGUGGGUAGUUUGACUGGGGCGGUCUCCUCCUAAAGAGUAACGGAGGAGCACGAAGGUUGGCUAAUCCUGGUCGGACAUCAGGAGGUUAGUGCAAUGGCAUAAGCCAGCUUGACUGCGAGCGUGACGGCGCGAGCAGGUGCGAAAGCAGGUCAUAGUGAUCCGGUGGUUCUGAAUGGAAGGGCCAUCGCUCAACGGAUAAAAGGUACUCCGGGGAUAACAGGCUGAUACCGCCCAAGAGUUCAUAUCGACGGCGGUGUUUGGCACCUCGAUGUCGGCUCAUCACAUCCUGGGGCUGAAGUAGGUCCCAAGGGUAUGGCUGUUCGCCAUUUAAAGUGGUACGCGAGCUGGGUUUAGAACGUCGUGAGACAGUUCGGUCCCUAUCUGCCGUGGGCGCUGGAGAACUGAGGGGGGCUGCUCCUAGUACGAGAGGACCGGAGUGGACGCAUCACUGGUGUUCGGGUUGUCAUGCCAAUGGCACUGCCCGGUAGCUAAAUGCGGAAGAGAUAAGUGCUGAAAGCAUCUAAGCACGAAACUUGCCUCGAGAUGAGUUCUCCCUGACCCUUUAAGGGUCCUGAAGGAACGUUGAAGACGACGACGUUGAUAGGCCGGGUGUGUAAGCGCAGCGAUGCGUUGAGCUAACCGGUACUAAUGAACCGUGAGGCUUAACCUUACAACGCCGAAG
Molecule: ribosomal RNA, 995 nt
Filed under: Shigella sonnei
Lineage: Bacteria; Pseudomonadati; Pseudomonadota; Gammaproteobacteria; Enterobacterales; Enterobacteriaceae
Description: partial 23S ribosomal RNA
Rfam family: Bacterial large subunit ribosomal RNA
Source: RNAcentral